RNAcentral lists this ribosomal RNA (787 nucleotides) under Escherichia coli. RNAcentral describes it as "bacterial LSU rRNA". It matches the Rfam family "Bacterial large subunit ribosomal RNA", at positions 1 to 821 of the family's 2925-position model. The record is from RNAcentral. Lineage: Bacteria; Pseudomonadati; Pseudomonadota; Gammaproteobacteria; Enterobacterales; Enterobacteriaceae.
GGGUUGUGAGGUUAAGCGACUAAGCGUACACGGUGGAUGCCCUGGCAGUCAGAGGCGAUGAAGGACGUGCUAAUCUGCGAUAAGCGUCGGUAAGGUGAUAUGAACCGUUAUAACCGGCGAUUUCCGAAUGGGGAAACCCAGUGUGAUUCGUCACACUAUCAUUAACUGAAUCCAUAGGUUAAUGAGGCGAACCGGGGGAACUGAAACAUCUAAGUACCCCGAGGAAAAGAAAUCAACCGAGAUUCCCCCAGUAGCGGCGAGCGAACGGGGAGCAGCCCAGAGCCUGAAUCAGUGUGUGUGUUAGUGGAAGCGUCUGGAAAGGCGUGCGAUACAGGGUGACAGCCCCGUACACAAAAAUGCACAUAUUGUGAGCUCGAUGAGUAGGGCGGGACACGUGGUAUCCUGUCUGAAUAUGGGGGGACCAUCCUCCAAGGCUAAAUACUCCUGACUGACCGAUAGUGAACCAGUACCGUGAGGGAAAGGCGAAAAGAACCCCGGCGAGGGGAGUGAAAAAGAACCUGAAACCGUGUACGUACAAGCAGUGGGAGCACGCUUAGGCGUGUGACUGCGUACCUUUUGUAUAAUGGGUCAGCGACUUAUAUUCUGUAGCAAGGUUAACCGAAUAGGGGAGCCGAAGGGAAACCGAGUCUUAACUGGGCGUUAAGUUGCAGGGUAUAGACCCGAAACUCGGUGAUCUAGCCAUGGGCAGGUUGAAGGUUGGGUAACACUAACUGGAGGACCGAACCGACUAAUGUUGAAAAAUUAGCGGAUGACUUGUGGCUGGGGG